Molecule: ribosomal RNA, 432 nt
Filed under: uncultured bacterium
Lineage: Bacteria
Description: partial 16S ribosomal RNA
Rfam family: Bacterial small subunit ribosomal RNA
Source: RNAcentral
AGCGAACGCUGGCGGCAGGCUUAACACAUGCAAGUCGAGCGGACCUUUCGGGGUCAGCGGCGGACGGGUGAGUAACGCGUGGGAACGUGCCUUCCGGUUCGGAAUAACCCUGGGAAACUAGGGCUAAUACCGGAUACGCCCUUAUGGGGAAAGGUUUACUGCCGGAAGAUCGGCCCGCGUCUGAUUAGCUAGUUGGUGGGGUAACGGCCUACCAAGGCGACGAUCAGUAGCUGGUCUGAGAGGAUGAUCAGCCACACUGGGACUGAGACACGGCCCAGACUCCUACGGGAGGCAGCAGUGGGGAAUAUUGGACAAUGGGCGCAAGCCUGAUCCAGCCAUGCCGCGUGAGUGAUGAAGGCCUUAGGGUUGUAAAGCUCUUUUAUCCGGGACGAUAAUGACGGUACCGGAGGAAUAAGCCCCGGCUAACUUCGU